UUCAAUAGCAACAGUUUGACCACCUCCAACUUACUUUUAUCUCAAUAAACUCAGUUUGUUAUCAUGUUUGAAAUAAACUGACCUUUAGGGUUUCGCGUUUCGUUUUCGUUUCACUUUGCGUCUUCUGUGGAGUGCGCGGAGGUGGUGCGUCUUCUCUGAAGAGAGUGCGGCGGUGGUGGCGAUUGAGCGGAGUGGUCGGGCGGUGGUGGCGAUUGAGCGGAGUGGUCGCGCGGUGGUGACGGUUAGGUCGCAGGGUGGUGGAGGUUCGUACGUUCGAGCGUUCGUGCGGCGAUUGCGGUGGUCACGGGUUGCAGGUCGGUGGUGUCGGAGGUGCCGUUCAUCUUAUAAGGUUACAGAUGUAUAGUGUGGAAUUAGGGUUCUGUUUUUAUUUUAUUGGGCUACACAAGAUGGGCUCCAAAUUGGAUUUUUUUUUAAUUAAUUGAGGUGCAGAAUUGUUUUUUGUUUGGAAUGCUCUUUUUUUUAAUUGAGAAAACUUGCAGCAAAUUUUGUUUUUCAGAAAUUAAAUUUGGAGCAAUGUAUUUUUUAAGAAAUUUAUGGGAAUGGACCGAAUUCAACUACUGAGCUCAAUCGAAGUACAUUGUUUUACAUUGUUUUAAUUAAGGAAUCGAAGUACAUUGUCUUAAUUAAGGGUGUAUGGAAAAAUCCAAAUCCAAAUAUUUAGAUCAGAUUUAAAAUCUAAAUCUAUAUUUUUUGGAAAAAUAAUUUGGAUUUUUGUAAAUCCAAAUCCAAAUAUUUGGAUUGGAUUUAAAAUCUAAAUCCAUAUUUUUUAUAAAUUUAUAUAAUAUUAAAAAAUUAUUAAUGUAAUGUAAUUUAAUUUUUUUAUGAUAAAGGUUAAUUAUUAAUUUUUUUAACGUUAAGCUUAUGUUUUCAAUUAGUUAUUAAUUUUAAUAUUUUAUAGUAGCUUAACUUUUUACAUUUACGCAUUUAUUAUUUAUUUAAUAUAUAUUUAAAUAAGUAAGUUUAAUUUUAGGAAAAAAAAUUUAUCAUGAUUUUAUUUUCAGUUAUAUCUAUUCAGAUAAAAUAUAAAUUAAAUAAUUUUAAUAUGUUUAAUUUAAAAUUUUCGUAUUAUGCAUGUUUUAAUUUUGAUAAAAAAACUUAAUAUAAAAUUACUCCGUUAUUUUUAUUAAGAUAAAACAUUCUCUAUUUUUUAUUUUUUUGAUAUAAAAAUUAUUUAAUUUUUAAAAUAUUAAAAUAAAUUAUAUAAAAGGGAUUAUUUUUCACUGAUGUCAAUUCAGUAGAAAAAAUUUAUUUUUCAAAAUUCUAAAAUGAAUACCCUCUUGAUGAAAAAAUUUAUUUUUCAAACUAAAUUUAUAUUUUCUAAAAAAACUAACAAUAUUAAUAUAAAAAUAUGUAAAAAAAUUAAUAUCAUAUAAAUAUUUAAAAUAUAUAAUAAAAUAAUAAUUUAAUAAUACUAAAAAUUAAAAUUACAGAUAAUCAAUAUUCAGUGAUGAAAAAGUAAUUAUAUACAAUUACAAACUAUACAUAAAAUUGGUGAUUUUUUUUUAUGUUAUUGUUAAAGUAAUCAGUGUAAAAAAUCAACCAUUGAAUUUAUAUUUUACUUAGAAUAUUCUUUAAAUGUAAAUAUAUUUUUAGAUAAAAUUUUUUGGUAUAUUACUGUUUGCAUAUGGUCCUCUCAAGUGUAUAUACAUGAAGAUAACUGAAAAUCUAUACAGUAUUUAAGUGAAGAAAAAAAAAAUUGUGAAAAAAAAAGUAAAAAAUCAGAUUUAUAAUUCAAAUCCAUAUUUUUUAUAAAAAUAAUUUUAAAAUUCAAAUCCAAAUUAGAUUUUAUAUCAAAUCCAUAUUUUUAUAAAAAAAUAAGGUAAAUUGUAUUUUAAAUCAAAAUCCAUGUAUUUUUUAAAAUUAACAUAAUAUUAAUAUAUUAAUAUAAUAACAUGUAAAAGAGUUGAAUAUUAUAAGAAAAUAUAAUAAAAUUAUAAUUUAAUAAUACUAAAAAACUUAAACAUAAUAUAUAUAUUCUUAACAUUAAAAUACACCUACCUAUAAUACUUGAAAUUUGAAAAUAUUAUAUUAAUUUAUUAUGUAUAAAAUAUUGGAGCAAAUAAAAUUAUAAAAAAAAAGUAUAAGACUUGGUUGUUUCAUUGUGUGUGAAAGAGAGCAAAUAAAAUUACAAAAAAUUAAUAAGAGGCUGGAGAGAGAGGGAACCAAAAAUGAGAAAAAGUAUAAAAAAGUGGUUUGGGUAGAGGUACUGGAGUGAAAGUCUCCUUUCAAAAAUUUGGAUUAGAAAUUUGGAUUUUUCAAUUUCUAAAAUCCAUAUAAACAAAAUGGAUAUCUGAUUUGAAAAUAUAAUAAAAAUGUGGAUCAAAUUAAAAACUGAAUUUAGAUAAACGGAUUUUUAAUGGAUUAGAAUAGUGUAAAAGUGGAGCAGUUUGACAAAACCAGAUUUUUUGCCCAGCCCUAGUUUUAAUAGAAGUAAAACUACUUUCAGAAAUAGAUCGGAUAUUGGAUGAAAACAUAAAAUAGAUAUUAAUGGAAAUGGUAAAAAUGUAAAAUGUAAUUAUUAUCCAAAGAGUGUGAGUGAAGGAACAUUUAGAUUCAAGCAUCAUCUUGUUAUAACUAGAAAAGACUCUGAACCUUGUGUUGGUUAAAGUGUUCACUUCAAUGGAGGAAUAAAAGUUCCAACUCUAGAUGCAGAUGAUGGAGCAAUAAGAUGAAGAUGAAGAUGGAGACGAGGAUGAUGGAGGAGAGGAUAUCAUUAGAGGAUUGGACAUAGAAACUUGACAUUUGUCCAUUUCUAAUUAUUUAAUUUUUAUGAUUUGAACAAUUUAACUUUUGUAGUAUUUGUAUAAAUUUCUUUAUUUGAGGUACUUUGAAGUUAUAUAAUUCUCAUUCAUGACUAAAUGUAGUUAUUUAUUAUUAAAAAAUCAUGUAAAGUAAACUCUUACGAGUUUAGAGUCGAGCCUAUGGAACUCCCAUGAGUCUACGUAGACUCUCAAGUUUGACAAACUUGUUCAAACAUAAAUCACAUUAUAGUACACUCAUAUUUUAUAUCAAACUUAAGUUUCCAACACACUUUUGAUUCAAACUUGUGUUUUCAUGCUUUAAUCCAAACAUGCACUUGUCAUCAAUUCAAUAGUAAAGUUUUUCAUCUUUAGAUGAACCAAAAACAAAACCACGCAAAAUCAAUAAAUCACACAACUUCAAUAGCUUAAUAACUACUUAAACUUCAGUAAUAUACCCAAAAAAAUGGUCAUGCAGAACAGAUAAACCCCACAACACAUAUUUCAGGACAUAUAACCAAAUUUCGAGCGCAAAAAUCAAAAUUCGAUAAACAUAAAUAUACCAAACCCAAAAACCCCAACAGUUAAAUUGUUUCAAUUUAUGCAAUGCCUUGUCACCAGCACGAAAUCGAGAUUCAAUUGAAACUAAAUGAAAUAAUAGAACUUACCACAUGGAAGAGGUUCAUAAGCCAAGGUUAAAAUGCAAAAGGGGUAGUCGUUUUGUUCUACCUCGCUGUUCAACAAUGUUUUUGUUUCGGAGCGAAUAAAAAUAACCGCGACUAGCGCUUUUUGUUUCUCCCUUUCUCUUUCUUUUGUGUUAUUGCAAUUGCUAUGCUAGAGUAGAGUAGAAGGACAUCCAACAUCACCAAACGAUCUUAAUCUUAUUGUCUAAAAUUAUUGGGAAAAAUAAAACUUCAAUAACUAUUUUAUUUUUGAAUGAUCGUGCAUGAUGAUAGAGGUGUUAUUUAAUUAUGUUUUUAUCCUUAAAAUCUAUAAUAAAUGUUCCUGUCGGUUGACUCGCUUCGCCAGUUGACUCCAACGGUAGCCUUUGGCCCUUCUAUCUCCGCUUGAGAAUUGUGCUUCCUUGAUCAAGAAACCUCUCACCUGCAAAGACAAAGGGGCGCCCUAGCGGCCGUUUGCACUCCGACGCUCAAGUCAGUAUUAGGGCAAAGAAACACCAAGAAUGUAUAUUAGCUUCAGUCUUAGAAACUGUGUACCUUGCUAGGGUUCUUAGCACCCUUUAUAUAGGCUGAAACUGAGGUUUACUUUUGUGUUGUUACCCUUGUCUAGGGUUCCUUAGGGAACGUCCUUGCGUCGCUAUUUACAGAAUCUUAGCGUAUCUGACACAUAGAACUUCCCUUAACUGGAGUGCAACGAAUAACAGAGUGGUCGCUUGGGUACCAACUUGUGCACCUAAUCUCUAGCCCCAUCUGCUUUGUAGGUACCCUAAGUAUUCACGUGCAAUGCAUGCAACUUUCCUUAGAAACCCUAACCCUAAUGGGCCUUAGCGCCUCCCAGGAUUAUUCCCUCGUGUCGCGCCUUCAUGCGCUAUACACACCACGUGCAUGGAUCCUUCGUGACUUAGGCUUCUCACAUAUCUCGUGGCUUAACUGUUAACAUAGCAUAACUUUUAGGGCCCACCUUACGUGGCCCACCACAACGUUCAGACUGUCGAUGUCCAAUCUCUCCCUCUGCUAGCGAGGUCCAAUGUCGAUCUCCAACAUCGGGGUCUAUGACACCAAUGUCUGAAGACUAACCAAUCCCCUGGUAGGUGCGUCUGGGACCCACCUUGCGUGGCCCCCUUCCAUUACCAAACAUCGGUGCGCGAUGUCUGAGGUCAGUCCCUAGGUCGAUGCCCGAGGACUGGUCAGGAAAAUAAAAACAAAAACAAAAACAAAAAAGCUCUCUUCUUUCUCUUCUUUUUCAAUGGAAAAUGGCUAUCAGGGUAGAGCUCGCUAUCCACAACGACCACCAAAUAACCACACAACCUUCUUUUUCUCCAACUUUCCUAAUGACUAUGUGAAUAUGGCAUGAUCAAGAUUUUUCAAAGGUGGGCAAGGGUAAAGGAAGUGUUUAUCUCCCGUAGGUUGAAUAGGUGGGGAAUAAGAUUUGGUUUUGUGAGGUUCUUUGAUGUGGCAAACGUGAGCCAGCUGGAGAAAGAACUGGAUCAGAUUCACUUAGGGAAAAUGAAGCUAAACGUUAAUAUCCCAAAAGGUAUCGAAGAACAGAUUUUAGUCCUAAAAAGGAGGAAGGAAAACAUCAAGGUAAUGAUUCCAGGGAGAAGAAGUACAAGAAGGUAUGGAAGGAAAAGAGGAAUAAAGGGUUACAAUCAUAUGCAGAAGCAGGAAAAGGAUCUUCACAAGCGCAAUGGAAAGGCCCUAUUAUUGACACCCAGAAAAUUACUUUACCCUGGAUGGAGAAAAGCAUCAUAGGUCAAAUGGCAAUUGAUAUGGAUUAUAACCAAGUAUGUGAGGAAUUUAUUAAGGGAGGGAUGACCUCAAUAAAAGUGAGGUAUAUGGGGGACAACCUGGUUCUCCUAACUUCAACUGAAUGAGAACGAUUGAAGGAUCUGAUUCAGCUCAACAAGGAAUGGUUUGAGAGUGUUUUUGAUGUCUUGAAUCCUUGGUCAGAAUCAUAUUUAGCAGAUCACAUAAUUGUCUGGGCAAGAUGUUACGACCUCCCAUUCUCGCUAUGGAAUAAGGAUUACUUUUCAAAAGUAGUUGGUGAAAUAGCUUCUCUGAUUUCAGUUGAUAAAGCUACGGAGAGCUGGGAGAUAAUAGAAUAUGUAAGACUUCAGGUACGUGUUCCUAGGAGUUGCAGAGCAAGCUUGUCUAAGGGUAUGUGUAUAAAUGGAGAGAUUUAUAGCAUUAAUAUUAAAGAGGAGGAUCCAAGAGUGCAUGGAGGUUUACGUAGAUGGAGGAGUAAUCUUUACACAACAUCUGAAUGUGUAUCCUCUUUGGAAUCGUUUGUGGAGGAAACGGUGGUAUCUGAGGAUAACGUUUUUCGUGAAGAGUUACAAGUGUAUGAGGAAGGUCUUGGAGAAGAAGGCGCAGGUUCAGGUAGCGGUGGACGACAACCACAGAUGUCACUGGUGGAAGAUGGUAGUGGCACGCGGUUCCAACAAGGGCCAAUCAAAGUCCCUUUUUCUGAGCCUGUGAUGUCAGGACCUGUCACGGAUUUGGUAAGGGGAGUGCAGAGAUUGCAAUCAGCAAAUGAAACGGCUAGUUAUGCUCUGUCAGACGCUAAUGUAACCCAAGACGUGCUAGCAAACCUAGUUGUGGCACUGGAGGCUGUAAAACGGGUGCAACUUUGGGCCAAUAAGGAUGUGGCCUAAGAAAGUAGUGAAACUAUCCAUCAAAGUGAAGAAGGUUUGGGUCCAGAGGAGAAGGGGCCCAAUACGCUAGCGGAAGCCAACAUGAAGGGGGUUGGAGUAAGCUGCAGAGAAGCCAGAAUGUGCUGCCCAAUCCGAUCAUGUAUGCCGACGGGUUUGACUCUGAAACUGAAAGGAACGUUGUUAGCCCUCAAUCAGUGCAUGAGGAUCAAGGUAGUGGAAGAACCACCCCCGUCACGAAAAAACCCGACGAAGGAGGAGCAUUGAUGGGAGACCAAUUUUUCACUCCACCACAUAGGCAGCAGCGAAGAGGGAUCUGGACAAACGGGGAGCCAAAUGUGCAGCAUCCAUUGAGGGAGUCAGAGUCGGGAACGAACUCGCUUCGAGCAAGGAAUUGCUGCGUUGCCAGGUUAACACUUAAAUCUGCAAGCCUAUCAAUUUCGGAUGGUGAUAUUAUUGGUUGUAAUAAUCGUUUCUGGAAGGUAAUAGAUAAUGCUGAAUCGUUUGAUUUGUGGGAGUUGGGUAAACAUAUUGGAACAACUUGUUUUAGGGACGAGGAUGAGGUAAUUAAAGAAGUAGAAAGAAUGGAAGAGAGAGAUGUAGCGAUAAUGACGAAGAAUGAGAAGGGUAAUAAAACUGGUCUUAUAUGAUAAUUAUAAGUUUGGAUAUAAGAGGGUUAAGAGGGGGCACUAAGUUGAGGUACAUGAGGAAAUUAAUUUCCAAGGAAAGUGCGAGAAUCAUUUGUGUUCAAGAAACAAAAACAAAGACAACGUCAGAUGCACAAUGCUUCUCCAUGUGAAAAGAUAGUAAUGUGGGUUGGUUACAUAAUGAGGUGAAAACGGGGUAGGGAGCCUUUUAACCAUGUGGCAUAAAGAGGUAUUCCUUUGUCAAAGUCAUUUAAUGGGGAAAGGUUUUAUUGUGUUUUUUGGGAAGCAUUUGCAAACUAAUAUGGAUAUUGUGGUGGUUAACGUGUAUUCUGCCUGUAAUUUUCAAGAUAAGAAAACUUUGUGGGGUGAACUAUCUAGUAUAAAAACAGCACACCAAAAAUGUCCAUGGUGCUUCAUAGGAGACUUUAAUGUUGUUAGGAGGACCAACGAAAGGAAAUGAAAGAGUGCAAGGGGCAGUCAAACGAGAGAAAUUCGUCACUUUAACAAGUUCAUAGAAGGAAAUUUCUUGUUAGAUAUACCAAUCGUUGGCAUGAAAUAUACUUGGUUUAAAGCAAAUGGGUCAGCUAAGAGCAAAUUAGAUAGAGUACUGGUAUCCGAAGAGUGGAUUCAGAAAUGGCCUAUGUGUAAACAAUAUAUCCAACCUAGGGAGGUUUCAGACCAUUGUGAUGUAGUAGUGAAAUCGAUGUUAAAGGAUUGGGGUCCACGACCCUUUAGGUCUAUUGAUGCGUGGCAAAUGGAGAGCGACUUUAAGGAACUAGUGAAAGAUAAAUGGAACUCUUACGUUGUAAGACGAGAUGGUAUAACAAAUUUCAAAGAUAAACUAAAUUUUUUGAAGGAGGGUCUAAAAGUCUGGAAUCGAGAAGUGUUUAGGAAUUAGGAGGUUUCUAAGAACAAUAUCCUAAAGCAAAUUGAGGUUCUUGAUAACCAAGACAAUUACAGUGAGCAAGAGGAGAGCACAAAAAUUGAGAGUAUGGAACUUAUGAGUCAGCUGAAGGAAAUAGAAAAUAAGAUAGACUCGCUGUUGUGCCAAAAGGCGAGGUCAAAUUGGUUGAAGCAUGGUGACUCAAACUCAAAGUUUUACCACUCUUCUAUUAAGUGGAGAAGAAUCAGGAAUGAAGUAAAAUGGGUUGAAGUUGGGGGCCAAUGGUGCGAGGACCCUGAGGUGGUUAGAGGUCAGGUCAAAAACCAUUUUGAAGAGAGAUUCACAGCCACAAAGGAUUUUGGGGUAAGAUUAGGAGCAAUUAAGUUUAAAACCAUUUCCCAGGAGGAUAAACUAAGUCUAAUAUCUGUUUUUUCGGAGGAAGAAAUCAGGGAAGCAGUUAGACAGUGUGAUGGUUCGAAAAGCCUUAAGCCAGAUGAGUUUAAUUUAAGUUUCAUACAGAAAAAUUGGGAAACUCUUAAAGAAGAUAUUUAUGCAGCGGUUAGCCAGUUUCAAGAAUCUGGAACCAUUCCCAAAGGGUGCAAUGCUUCGUUCAUUACUUUAAUACCAAAAGUUUGUGACCCAAUGAAGCUUGAUCAGUACAGACCUAUAUCUUUAGUUGGGUCAUGUUAUAAGAUAAUCUCAAAGGUUCUGUCAAAUAAAAUUAAGAAAGUUCUGCCUUUGGUUAUAGAUGAGUGUCAGUCAGCAUUCCUAAAGGACAGAGGAAUGCUUGAUAGUGUUCUUAUGGCCAAUGAGAUUGUUGAAGACAUUAUAAGGAACAAGAAAAGAGGGUUGUGCGUGAAGGUAGAUUUUGAAAAGGCAUAUGAUUCGGUCAGAUGGGAGUUCUUAUUUGAUAUGUUACAAAGGUUAGGCUUCCAUCAUAAGUGGAUUGUUUGGAUUAGAGGAUGUUUGGAGUCAGCAUCAGUAUUAGUAUUAGUAAAUGGAAGUCCUACAAAAGAAUUUAAACCAACGAGAGGGCUAAGGUAGGGAGACCCUCUAGCUCCAUUUCUCUUCAUUGUUGUAGUUGAGGGCCUUGCGGGCCUUGUUAGAAAAGCAAUAAAGAGUAAUCUGCUUAAUGGUGUGAAAGUUGGCAGGCUCGAAGUAGAGUCUUGUCUGUUGCAAUUUGCAGAUGACACUCUUUUUAUGUGUGAGGAUAGUUAUUCCUGUGUGGUAACAAUUAAAGCUAUCCUGAGGUGUUUUGAACUUGCAUCUGGACUGAAGAUUAACUUCCAUAAAUCAAAACUUGUGGCCUUUAAUGUAGAGAGAACCACAAGCGAAUGUUAUGCAAAGAUUCUGAAUUGUGAACUAAUGAAGGUACCUUUUAAAUAUUUGGGGUUGUAUAUGGGUGGCAAUCCAAGGAAGUGUCAAAUCUGGGAGCAUGUUGUGGAAAAAAUUAGAGUUAAAUUAAAUGUAUGGAAAGGAAGACAUUUAUCUAUGGCAGGAAGAAUAUGCUUAAUAAAAUCGGUGUUCACAUCAAUACCACUUUUCUAUUUGUCCUUCUAUAAAGCUCUAGAAUCAGUCUAAAAAAGUAUAACCAACAUCCAAAAGGAGAUUCCUAUGGGGGUGGGGUAAGGAUAAAAGAACAAUAUCGUGGGUUAGUUGGGAUAAUUUAUGCAAACCAAAGGAGGAGGGAGGCUUAGGCUUUAAAGAGGUUCACAAAUUCAAUAUAGCGCUCCUGGCCAAGUGGAAGUGGCGUAUCGAAAGUGAAGAAAGAGGGAAAUGGAAAGAGAUUCUUUUGUCAAAGUAUGGACCCGAUUUAGGACGAACACAAGUUCAAAGCAAAUACCAAUCUUGGCGGUGGAGAGAUCUCGUAAAAGUGAGUGGAGAGGGUCAAGAAGAGGGCUGGUUCCAAAAGGCAAUCACAUGGAGAAUAGGAGCAGGGGACAAAGUCAGAUUUUGAGAGGAUGUUUGGGUUGAAAGAAGUAAUCUCAAGAUUGCAUUCCCUAGGCUAUAUUCAAUAUCCUUAGAUAAGGGGCGUAAGGUGGGAGAGGUUGGGAUCUGGGAAGGUGUAGAAUGGAGAUGGAGGCUAAGUUGGAGACGUAAUAGGUUUGUUUGGGAGGAUCAACAAGAAGAACAAUUAUUAAAGAGUCUGGUAAACAUAAAUCUGAACAGGGAGGUACAAGACCAAAAGGUUUGGAAUGGAGAGGAAUCUGGAUGCUUUUCUGUUAAAACAGCUUAUGAAUGCUUGUCGAAUUAUGUCACAAGUAAUGUUAAAGAUGUAUUUAAAUAUUUGUGGUUGGCCAAGGCGAUGCCAAAAGUACUGACCACGACAUGGAGGACCCUUUUGGGAAGAUUACCGACUAAAGUAAAUUUUUCAAGGAGAGGGGUCGUAGUUAAUGAUAACAUUUGUGUUCUAUAUCUUGAUAGGGAAGAAUCAAACCAACAUCUGUUUCUGGAGUGUAAAAUAGCUUACCAGGUUUGAAAUUAUUGCUUCAGGUGGUUUGGCGUAUUGGGUGCGCAACAUUACAAUUUGAAAUAUCAUUUUGAGAAUUUUCAUCUGGUACAUAUGAACACUAAACAAAAUAUGGUUUGGAAAGGUGUUUGUGCAACAGUUGUGUGGAGUAUUUGGGAACACAGGAAUAGAGUUAUCUUCAAUCAAGGGAAAGUUGAUGCGGAAGAAAUCUUUCAUAUGGCACAACUCAAAACCUGGUCUUGUUUGAAAUAUAGGAUGAAAUCUUUUAACUACGCCUUCUCGAAUUGGGUACUGAAUCCUAGCCUAUGUCUAAAUAGUAAUCACUAAGGAAAGGAAGAGAAUGGGUGAGGGGGCUAUAAGUAAAAAAGGGGGGAGAAAGGUGAAAAGAAGGUAGAGAAAUGUAACUAGUACAUGGAUUUGGGUUUAGUUGUAAAGAUAUCUAAUUGAAAGGUCCUUUAUUUGAUCUACUGAUGGCAGGGAAAGGUUGUCGUUUCUAUUUGUGUAGGCUCUGGAAGAAGGACAAGAGUUGGGUGCAAAUGGAAGGUAUGCGCGGGAGCUAAUGAAAGGAUGCAUGCCGGAUGUGAAUGAAGGUAAUGGAGGACGUUGGAGGUGCUGUAAGAACAGAUGGGUCAUGGCAUGAAGCAAACUGGUUUUUAGAUGGACGUGUAGUAGCUGGAGUUAAAGGCAUAAGGCCACUAAUGGAUCAUGUGAUGAAAAACCUGAAUUAUGCAGCUGCAGUUGCUUUUACUUGCUGUUUUUGGUCCCUCUGGUUUCUCUGGCUUUUAGCUCAGUUACUGCAGGAAUAGCUUACUACAAGCUCAAGACAACGUUGGUUUUUCUCAUACAAGCUGUGUUAGAUGAUGUUAAAAGGCCAAAUCAAGGUUGUUUCUCUACAAGGCUGAUAUUGCUUGUGGUGGGGUCUUUCCUCUAAAAGAAGUACUUGCUUGAAUCAUCAAGAAUAUGUCCCUGUUUUUAGGUGUUAGCUGUUUUAUGUUCCAUGGACGAUAGUUUUUUGUUAGGAAGGGAAGAGUUGUCAUAUAGAUAGAUAUCAUCCUAUGUAUCUAUAUACUUUAUCUGCAAACGGAUUGGGAUACCCAUAAAAUAUCUCAUUUUAAUUUAUUUAAUUCUUUGCUGAUAAAAAAAAAGAUAAGAAUGAGAGUUUUUUUUCGCAUUUAACUUGCCACAGUGAUUUCCUUUUCUCUAUCCUGCCUAUUUUUUAAUAAAGAAAUUAUUUAUAAUUAAAAAUACAUAUACAUAUAUAUAUAAUACAUAUUUUGAUGAUAAUGAAAAAUUAUUAUUAAAAGUUUUAUUUGUGAAAAAACAAAUCAAAAGAUAAGAAAGCAGACAAAUGAUAUCCUUGCAUUACCCGUCAAAAUACUUUAGAAAGAUUUGUUUGGAGCAAAAAAAAAAUCGUUAUUUUUACAAUAAUUUACAAUUUACAAAGAUAAGGAAAAAGAAUAAAUUAUUCUCUUGUAUAAGAUUUAUCUUAUUAAUUUAAAUUAUAAAUUAAGUAUUAUUUAGAAUAUAAUCAGUAUUCUUUUCACCUAAGUUUAUAAAAAUUAUAAUUAUAAUAGAUAUCGUAAACUAAAGAGCUUUUAGUUGUUAUUCUUCAAUAAUAAAAAGAACUUUUUUAAAAAAAAUCUUGAUAUCUUUUAAUUUAUCAUUUUUAGUAUUUAUAAUUUUAAAUUGAAACAGUAUUAUAAAAGAAAUUAAUAAUUAAAAUAUAUUUUAUAUUUUAAACAUAUAUUUACUAUAUCUUUCUCCCAAACCCUCUCUUUCUCAUAUACCAACCUCUCUCAAUUCCAUUGACGCACUUUUAUCUUGUAUGUUUUUUUCCCUUUCAAUUGUUUAUCCAAUGAACAAAAUCCUACUUUUUUUUUCUUUAAUAGUUUUGUUAUAAGGUUGAUUAAAUUGUUGUCUUCGUGUAUUUUAUGGUGUUAUUUAUGUCAGCACAAUAAUAACAAUAUUGUCAUCAUACAAUGUCAAAGACAUGCAUAAAUGAAUAAAAAAGAAAAGUAAAUCUAGACAUUGCAUUUCCAUCUUCUACUUUAUAAUUGAAAAACAACACUUCGUGAUUAGUUUUAUGGCUCUGGAAGAAAACUAUGACUUCUCAUAUUUUGAAUUUUGAAUAUGAAAAUAGAAAACGAAAAAUGUGCUUAAUGGGAUAAAAGUGAAGAUGAAGGGGAGAAAAAGAUGUAAUUGUACAAUGCUCCUCAGCAAGUUUCACUUUGCAAUGUUUAAUUUUGAAUUUAAAUUUUUUUGAAUUUAAAAAUAGUAUUAUCUCUUCUAUUAUCCUUUUGAUAUAUAAAAUUAAAACUGCUCACAAAAUGUCAAAUAUCUCUUCUCAUAUAUUUUUAAAAUAAUUAAAUAAAAUAUAAAUAUAAGGAUGGAAGAGUCGUAGAUUUUGAAAUACACAAAUUUGGUAAACAGUUAGACUUUUGAUAGGAGCACAUAUGUUGACUCACAAAGAUUUAUCAUAUAAUAUUACUUAUUCAUUAAAAGUUCAUUCCUUACAUGGAAGGAAAUGAAACAAGACAUUGUUUCAUAUUAAGACUAAAGACUAAGCUCUUGCUACUUGCUUAAGUAACGUGUGAGCUAGACUAAUUCACUUUCUUAAUGAUCUUCAAAUAGUUUGUUCUCACCUAGUUGUUCUAUAUUAUGAUAGUAAAAUCACUUUUCACAUAGCUAUUAAUUUCGUGUUUGAUAAGUGAAAUAAACAUUUAAACGUUGAUUGUCAUAUCUAAGAGAGGGUUCAAAAAGGAUUAAAAUCUUGCUUUGAGUCUCAUCCUCCAAGUAGAUAUUAAACAUUUUCAUUAAAGCUCUCUCAUUUAAACUAUUCAUCACCAACAUUAUUCAACCUAGGGUUGGUUAAUAUAUUCCUAUCGAGUCACGUGUAAUAAAAGACUUAAAAUGAAAUUCAAAUUUUCCAUAAUAAUCUUGAACUUUGUGGCAGUGUGUUCUUAUCGAACUAUGUUAGACCGUUAUUGUAACUAUCACUUUUUACUUCUAGAUUCUAUCUUAUCCUUUGAUGAGUGUAAUGUUUUUAUUAUUAUUGUUAUUAUUAUUAUUAUUAUUAAGAAAAAGACAUUUUUUUGUCUCUAUUAAAAGAAUUAAUAAUGGUGAUAACAUUAUAAAUAAUAGGUGGUUUGUAGUGUAUUGCAUAGGUAAAUGAGAAAAUAGAAGUAAUUUAAAAAGUGUAAAUAAAAUUAUGGGAGAAAAGUAAUAACAGUAAUUAUAAUAGUGAAAUAGGAAUUCUAGAAAUUAUAAGAGUGAAAUAGUACAUAUAAAAUGUGUACUACAAAACAACUUAUCUAUUUAUAUAUAGUUAUAAAUUAUUAACAUUAUUAUUAUUAUAGAGAAGAAAGAAAUGAUUUCUAAAAUGCAUGAGGUUAAAUAAAAAAAACAUGAUCAUGCAAUUAAAUAGUAAUUUAAAAGAAAAAAACAAUAUGAUAGUCUUAAUUUUGUAACAGUAACUUUCAUUCUAACUUACUGUUUUUUAAAAUAUUUGUCUUUUUUUUAUAAAAAAAUAAAUUGAAUAAGGAAAGUGUUUCAAUCCUUUUACAGAUAAAGAAAAGAUAAAAACAAUACCAAGAAUGUUUAAAAAAACCUGCAACCUACACAAUUUUAAAUUUCCAAAAAUACUUUUUGUUUCAGAAAUAAAAAUCUGAAAUUAAAAAUUAUACAUUCUGGAAAUAUACGUCCAAGAGAGAUUAUUGUAUUCUAAAAUAAAAAUCUAAAAAUAAAAAAAAAUCCCAUUCCAAAUCUUCCGGAAAAAAUUCAGAAACAUUCCAGAAAAGAGGAUUCGAAAUGUAUUGUUAUAUGUACUCCAUUUUAUUUAAGGGCAUUUUGUCUUCUCAUACUAAAAUUGGGUGCCGUGCAGGAAGUAAUUGCCAUAAGAAAAAACCUGUGACCAACACCUACAGCAAACUGUACAGAACCAACACCUACAGCAAACUGUACAGAACCAACACCUCAACGUCCCACUGAAACUACUUGUAUUAUAUACCCUUUAAGCCUGUAAAACCUGACACCCAUCAAAACAUCCAAAGAAAAACUCAAAGAUCAGAGAAAGCCCUGCAACUUGUUUGUUGUAACCACUUCAAAGCACAGAGAAGGAGUAACUUGUCUCUAUAGUUUUUAAUUUUUGUAACUGUUUCCUCUCAUUAUGAAUUUUAAUCUUAACUUCUUCAGAAUAUAAAUGAUUCUUCAGACAUGCUUAUGUUUAAACUGAAUAUAGUUGCGGUUGUGAACUCAGUAAUAAAAGAUUAAAGUAGAUUAUCGAAGUUCAGUGGUUCUAAACUAUGAGCCAGAAACAUAUGGACAGACGAAAGGAGAUGAGAAAUGCGACCAUGGCAUAGACAGAGGGAAUAAACGAUGAAAUCUAGGAGAUGAGAAACGAAGAAAGAUAAUAAACUCUUGUAUAAAAUGUAAUUCAAGACAUCUACAUCAAUAAACAAUCAGUGUGUGCUCACAAGCACUAACUCAUCAUCCAUCAUUUUGGUUGAGGGCGCUUCAUUUUGAGAAGAUGGGAGAGUCCUGCAAUAACGUGUAAACGACUACUCGGGACACCUGUCUUUGCCAGGGCCUUGCCAUUGUUGUCAAGAAGCACAAAACAAGGAACAUAGCUAACAUCAUAAUUAAGGAGCUGCAAUAGGAAUAUUCAAAACCAAGUCAGCAAGAAGGAGUAAUAAUACUUUUCCAUCAAUAAAAUUAUAAAGGCCUCAAGUAUCUUAAUUGAAAAAUGUAUUCUACUUUUUAAUUAAAAUGUAAUAUGUUCUUCCGUAUCCUUCCAGAGAACUGUAAUAUGCCCAUUCAUCAAUUUUUAUUAGUAUUGGGUGAUAAUUGAGAUGUCCAAGGAAGCAACAUUUGCUACAGUUAAACAUGGAAACAACAUUUGUUACAAAUUACAAUACAUAAUCCAAGAAAAAAUACCGGGUGAAGGCCAAUUUAAGCAGCAUCUGGAUUGCAAAUAAAAUUUGCAUGGUUUGCUUGCAUGUAGAGGUAAUUCAGAAAGAAUGAAUAAAAAUAAAAAAGCCAAAGUUACACAGAUGAAGAGUCAAGAAUACAAUACUUCUUUAAAGGGAUGUAGUGACCACAAUCACAUUUGAAGAAAACAAACUGAGAAACAGGUCGGCAUCUUGAAAAGGUCAAAACAUGGCUUGGAGCAGGAGACAAGAGUCACAGAAUGUGAACCCAAUGGCUUAGUCAGUCUGCUCAAACGUGGUUCAGCAUAACAUGAAUAACUAUCAUAGUAUUUACUAAACCCCCAUGUCCCAUUAAAUUCUUCCUAAUAACCAAAUUGACAUGUAAGCUUAUACACCACAAUUAAAUAAACAAAAUAAUAUAAAAAAAUUACAAAGCAUCAAAGUACAUUUAUAUUCUUCACAAUCCAAUGGCAUAUAAAUCCAAUCUCCAUAACAGAAAAAAAAAAUAGCUAACAUCAUAAGUUCUUAACACCUAUGCUGUUGCAUGAUUCCAUGGGUAUUGUCCAUACUACCCUAGAACAGUUAUUGUAAAAGUAUUAUUUUAUCUUCUAAUUAGUCUUUUAGUUCUUAUUUAUGCAAAUUAAUUCAUAUAACCAGAAUUAGAUCUAUUCCAAUAGAUAGAUAUUAUUUUUAUUAAGGAGUUCUGCUAAAAAAGGGUUUAACUGCUGUGACAGAGUGUGAUUUUUCCCAAACUGUAUUAGGUUAUCUUUUAUUUUUCCUAGCUGCUUCUUAGCUAUCUUUCAGAUCUACUUUUUAUCCUUUUCUCUGUGUCUCUUCUGUGAUGCUAAAUGGUCAUUAUCAUUCUACAACAAUGCAGUAACAGAAAUGAAGUUAAUAAUACUCAGAUCAUCAUGAACUCUUGUAUGCCAAAAUGCAUUGGAUGUACCCAAGCCCAAGCAAUAACUUAAUCACACAGAAUGUUCAUGCAAUUUAUGCAACCAAACAGAAACCUUUGCUGAGAUCAAGUUUGAUCCCAUGCGGGGAUUCUCAAAGGCGCACAAGCCAAACAACAAUCUGCUUCUGAAACCCACUAAGCAAAUAAGGAGCAUUUCCCCCCUUACUACUACUAAAGGUUUGUAGAAAUCAGUAACAUACAAUCAAAACUUCCUGAAGGUACUAUUCGAUUAGAUUUCUCCACCAGCCAAUGAUGAUUCUCAAGAUAAAAUUUGAAGAAUGAAGGCAUAUCUGAAAUCAUUAUAUAAAAUGGAACAAGAAAAUGAUCUUUAUUUUAAUGAAUAUUGGUACAAAGGAAAGACAAUUGAAUGAUAUAAACCAGUGAUUCUCUCCCAAUUUCCACUCCAAACUCCAGCAGUGAUAUCUAUUCCUUCUAUUUCUAUUUAUACCCAAUCAUCUCUAGUCUUAUCUAACUAACUGGUGCAACUAACACAUUCUAACCCAUUUUUUAUUUGGGUGCCUGCCAGCAGAAUCUACAGGUUAAGUAGAUCAUGCUUUAAUUCUUCAAGAGCAUAAGAAUGAAAAUAUUAAACACUUGAGUAAUCAAGAGAUUACUAAAUGAUGGGGAUUUUCUAGAGGAUGAACAUUGAAAAAUAUGGUUAUUCCACCACACGAUCUCUAAAUGUUUAAAUUGAAGAUGUAAACUUAAGGAACAAUGGUUUUAUUUUUCAAAGUACUACUCAAUCAAUCACAUUAUAGUCAUGGGUUUGGUCAGUUGCAUUCAGAUUUCGUUUAUAAUUUAGUGUACCCUUACUCUAUUAUUUGAGCUUAUAAGGGUUAGUCACCUCAGUCCCUCACAAUGCAAAACAUAAUUCAGUUUAGGACAGUUUAGAUAACACAGAAAUUAAAAAAUAAACUUCUAGAAUAAAUAAUAUGGAAAACCUCUACAAGUUUAGUUUAUUUCCAAAGAUACAUCAUCUCAUUUUAGUUUGUGAAAAGGUUUAUUUCAUUUUUCUUUACCUAUGAAUGCACAUACAAGUUUAUUCACUACCAAUAGUUAAUGAUGUUUUGCAAAGUGAAGGAUUAAAGUGAGAAUUUCAUAAUGUACAAUCUCAAGACUUAAAGUGGGUACUUUUAUGCAAAAGAAGGUACCUCAGGUAGCCAGUUGGGAUUCUCAGCAUCGGCCAUGACAAUAUUGACCCAGUGAGAGUUCCUCGUUUCGACUUCGGAAACAAAUUUGAGCAAGGAAUUGCAGAGCCUGCACUUAGUUGAGUAGAAUUCCACCAAAGUCGCCUCCUUGCCGCUCGCCAGAGCCGAAGCAAAUGCUCUCUGCUCUACCUUCGACUGUGCCAGAGUCGUUUUCUUCUUCCAACUACAAACAGAGUUCGCAAAAUUGAAAGCAAUUAAACCAAGGCUUUGGAGAUACUUCAAUGGCCAAGGACCCUUAAGCUUGCAGGGACUAGGCCAAGAGUUAGGGCUUGCGUCAUUCCAUGGCCAUUUUAGGCAAAACGUAGUUUGUUUAGGUUUAAAGUUAUAAAAAAAUCAUCAUAUACCCUAGGAUUUUGUCAUUUCUUUUAUGAUUCUCCCUUCAUCAUAUCAAUCUAAAUAUGCACCCAACACACUAACGUGAAAUGUUCGUUUUGACCUUAAUGAUUUAAAAGAUUUUGCUUUCGGAUAUUCAUGUCCGUAAGCCAAAUUACAAAGUUCUAUGUCACUUCCGAAUUUGGUCAUCUAGAAGCUUACUUGGACAACAUAAAUGACCCUUUCAGAUGCCAAGAUCCAUAAGCAAACAUAAUGAGUUUUGAAUCCUAAUCCUCAGCACCAUUUACAGGACACCAUUCUGGAUAUGAAAAUCCGGGACUCAUAACUCACUUCCGGAUAUGGUCAUCCGAAAGCUUAAAUGAAGUACGAAAAUAACCUUCCAGAUAUCUAAAUCCGGAAUAUACAACAACCACUUCCGAAUUUCUGCAUCCGUAAGCAAACAUGAAACCAAGGGCAAUGUUGAAUUUUGGAUUGGGUGCAUGUCUUAAAUGAUAUGGUGCAGGGAGAAAUUGUCUCAUAUUUAUCCUUUGUCGUUCUCGUUGUAUAUGAUGCCCGAAGCAAAAUGGAUUUGGUUCCUAUUCCCAAUCCUAAACCUAAACCUAAACAAACUACGUUUUUUUACCUAAAAUGGCCAUGGAAUGACGCAAGCCCUAACUCUGGGCCUAGAGCAUUGCACGUAAAAUUAGAAGCAUGUGAACAAAUUAUACCAGCAGCUUCUACAAGAAUUAUUUCCAUAAUCAAAAGAAAGGGGAAGUGCUAUCAUUCAAUUCUCCACAAAUCAAGUUAAACUGAUUAGCAGUGCUUAUGCAAAGCAGUCCUCACAAAUUUCUCUAAUCCAUUUUCAAUUUUACAAAAACAAUUUCAUAUGAUAAAUUCCGUAACAAAAAUGCCAAGACUACCCAGGACUAUAAUAGACCAUCGUAGAUACUACACUUCAUUCAUUUUCAACACAGAAUCAUGUUAGGAGUGAAUCAGAAAUUGGAAAUUAGAACAAAUACUCCAUCACUCUUCAACUUCAAAAUUCAACUACAAUUAUUUAAACAACAUGACGUGAUAAAACCAUUUCAGUUUUGAACCAUCAAUGUGUUACAAUCGAAACUUGAAACUACCAAAUCGAACCUCAAGGAAAGACACAACUACUAACAGACAAUGUAAUAAGUAUGUAUAUCCUCACUACCAAAUUUUCAUUCUGAGGAACCAUUCUCAGGCAACAAUAACAUGAUUUGGAAUAGGUAUUUCUACUAAAUAUUGAAUAAAAAAUCAGGGGGAAAGGAGUUUCAUCCAUAAACCAUAAACCAACUAAGAGGAUCAAUAAGGGAAAAUUGAACAUACCCUAACAUCUUUACUUGUUGAAUUCAAAAGACACGCUUUGCUUCCUGCGAAAACAAAAAUAACUAUACAAAUCAGAUGUUAUCAAACACGUCAAUACUCAAAGGAUGUGACCUUUUACAACUUAAAACAAAAUUAGGUCGCAGAGAGAACGAAAAUUAGGGUGCAGAGAGGACGAGAGAGAAGAGACCUUGUUGAUGAAUAAACCGCCGAAACCCCUAACUCAUACGAAAAUAUUGGAAAUUUAUAUGAGAAACCAUAAACAUAAUAUAUAGUGUGAAAUUAUUAUGUUAAUUUAUAGUAUUUUAAUGCAACUUUUAUACGAAGUAUACUCUCUACUAUUUGAGUUCUAAGAAACUCUCACCAGUCUAACAACCUUUGCAAAAUAGAAAAGGUAUUAUACUCUAAAUGAUCAGAGAAAGGCGUCACAGGUUCUCAAGGAUCAUUUACAGACCAAAGAUGUAAAGGCAAGAUGUAGUGUCAGGUGGGUGGUGACCAACACUCAAAAACACUGUAGCAGCAGCCAGAAGCCACCAAAAAUUUCAUAAAUUUUAAAAAACAGAUAUUAGAUAGUCCAAGCAGGAUUAAAAGUUUAUAUCUUUCAUGUAGGAAGGAAACACCGUAAGCAACAGACCUGUUGGAUAAGGAACUAAAGAACUGUGCAUGAAUAACCAAAAAAGGACAAAAAUCAUAUCAAGAUUAACUAUGUUAUUACGAGCAUACCAGUAAACUACAUCUGACAUUAGUUAUUUAAAACACACAAAAUUACAUGACAUGACAUAUUCUAUGAACAAAAAGGAGAACUUUCAUAGAUAGUGAUUUCUUUCUGAUCCCUAAUCAGUUUGAGGGUGUCAAAUGGAUUAAAAAAAUUCCUAAUUAGCUGCAUAAUACUGGAUGAAGGAGUGUUAGGUUAUUAAAAGCGGGAAUUUGACACCUUUAUAAGAGCAUUAUUCCACAAACACAAAAAUUAGUACAACAAUUUAUAUCAAAUUUUCCCUUAAUCAGCAAAAUAGAAACCAGUUAGUAGAUUAAUCAUUACGGCGACUUCAGCAGUAAAGUUAUAAUCUUUAGAUAAACCAAUAAAAAAAAUCAUGCAAAAUCAAUAAACCCCACAACUUCAAUAGCAACAGUUUUACCACCUCCAACUUACUUUAAUCACAACAAACUCAGUUUGUUAUCAUGUUUGAACGUCCCUCGGUACUCUUCUCACCUAAGUUUGCUAGUAAACUUAGUUUCAGCUCAAAACAACAUCAAGGUUGCUUUUAAAGUAAAAGUACUUUUGAUUUGUAUUUAAAAGAGUAACAUGAAGUACAAGUAUACCUUUUUUUAUCAGUACUGUCUAAACAAAUUUUAUUUUAUCCACUUACUUUUGAACAAAAAACAAAAUUCAAAACACAUGGUUUUGGCGAGUCAACUCGUUAACUCGUACAAGUUUACGUUUCCACACAUCCUUACGGAGUUAACUCGAUAGUAAACUCGGUUUUAGAGUAAACUCGGCAGAAUCGGAGUGAAUUCGGUGAACUCUAUCAAACUCGCGAGUCUGCUUUCAACUGGGUUUUCGUUUUAACCCAAAACGGUGUCCUUCUGAAUGGGGAAAAUUAAAUGAAAUAAACUGACCUUUAGGGUUUCGCGUUUCGUUUUCGUUUUGGUUUCACUUUGCGUCUUCUGUGGAGUGCACGGAGGUGGUGCGUCUUCUCUGAACGAGUGCGGCGGUGGUGGCGAUCGAGCGGAGUGGUCGCACGGUGGUGGCGAUUCGUACGUUCGUGCGACGAUUGCGG
RNAcentral lists this long non-coding RNA (20618 nucleotides) under Phaseolus vulgaris (common bean). RNAcentral describes it as "long non-coding RNA (PVUL_LNC001736)". Lineage: Eukaryota; Viridiplantae; Streptophyta; Magnoliopsida; Fabales; Fabaceae. The record is from RNAcentral.